CCUACGGGGUGCUGCAGUCGAGAAUCAUUCACAAUGGGGGAAACCCUGAUGGUGCGACGCCGCGUGGGGGAAUGAAGGUCUUCGGAUUGUAAACCCCUGUCAUGUGGGGGCAAAUUAAAAAGAUAGUACCACAAGAGGAAGAGACGGCUAACUCUGUGCCAGCAGCCGCGGUAAUACAGAGGUCUCAAGCGUUGUUCGGAAUCACUGGGCGUAAGGCGUGCGUAGGCUGUUUCGUAAGUCGUGUGUGAAAGGCGCGGGCUCAACCCGCGGACGGCACAUGAUAAUGCGAGACUAGAGUAAUGGAGGGGGAACCGGAAUUCUCGGUGUAGCAGUGAAAUGCGUAGAUAUCGAGAGGAACACUCGUGGCGAAGGCGGGUUCCUGGACAUUAACUGACGCUGAGGCACGAAGGCCAGGGGAGCGAAAGGGAUUAGAUACCCGAGUAGUC
RNAcentral lists this ribosomal RNA (446 nucleotides) under uncultured bacterium. RNAcentral describes it as "partial 16S ribosomal RNA". It matches the Rfam family "Bacterial small subunit ribosomal RNA", at positions 338 to 795 of the family's 1533-position model. The record is from RNAcentral.